RNAcentral lists this ribosomal RNA (955 nucleotides) under Micrococcus luteus. RNAcentral's name for it is "bacterial SSU rRNA". It matches the Rfam family "Bacterial small subunit ribosomal RNA", at positions 426 to 1377 of the family's 1533-position model. The record is from RNAcentral. Lineage: Bacteria; Bacillati; Actinomycetota; Actinomycetes; Micrococcales; Micrococcaceae.
UAAACCUUUGUUCCGGUAGGGGAAGAAGGGGAAAGUCACCGGUACCUGCAGAAGGAGGCACCCGCCUAAAUUACGUGCCCAGCAGCCAGCGGUAAUACGUAGGGGUGCGAGCCGUUAUCCGGAAAUUAUUGGGCGUAAAGAGCUCGUAGGCGGUUUGUCGCGUCUGUCGUGAAAGUCCGGGGCUUAACCCCGGAUUUGCGGUGCGUACGGGCAGACUAGAGUGCAGUAGGGGAGACUGGAAUUCCUGGUGUAGCGGUGGAAUGCGCAGAUAUCAGGAGGAACACCGAUGGCGAAGGCAGGUCUCUGGGCUGUAACUGACGCUGAGGAGCGAAAGCAUGGGGAGCGAACAGGAUUAGAUACCCUGGUAGUCCAUGCCGUAAACGUUGGGCACUAGGUGUGGGGACCAUUCCACGGUUUCCGCGCCGCAGCUAACGCAUUAAGUGCCCCGCCUGGGGAGUACGGCCGCAAGGCUAAAACUCAAAGGAAUUGACGGGGGCCCGCACAAGCGGCGGAGCAUGCGGAUUAAUUCGAUGCAACGCGAAGAACCUUACCAAGGCUUGACAUGUUCUCGAUCGCCGUAGAGAUACGGUUUCCCCUUUGGGGCGGGUUCACAGGUGGUGCAUGGUUGUCGUCAGCUCGUGUCGUGAGAUGUUGGGUUAAGUCCCGCAACGAGCGCAACCCUCGUUCCAUGUUGCCAGCACGUCGUGGUGGGGACUCAUGGGAGACUGCCGGGGUCAACUCGGAGGAAGGUGAGGACGACGUCAAAUCAUCAUGCCCCUUAUGUCUUGGGCUUCACGCAUGCUACAAUGGCCGGUACAAUGGGUUGCGAUACUGUGAGGUGGAGCUAAUCCCAAAAAGCCGGUCUCAGUUCGGAUUGGGGUCUGCAACUCGACCCCAUGAAGUCGGAGUCGCUUGUAAUCGCAGAUCAGCAACGGAGCGGGGAACAAGUUACCGG